GAUUUUGAUAAUAUAAAAUGGCGGCGGAUGCUCUGAGGAUUUCGAGUUCUAGUUCUGGUUCGUUGGUUUGUAAUCUUAAUGGGUCACAGAGACGACCUGUUCUUCUUCCCCUGUCUCAUCGUGCUACCUUUCUGGGUCUUCCUCCUAGAGCUUCAUCUUCUUCGAUUUCUUCUUCAAUUCCUCUGUUUCUGGGUACUUCUCGUAUUGGGCUUGGUUCUUCCAAGCUCUCACACAGAAAAAAACAAUUCUCAGUCUUUGCUGCAGCAGAAGGUUUGUGUCAUCGCUCGUAUGGUUCAUAAAGCUUCCAUCUUUAUCUUACUUAAUUUGAUUUUUGACGUUAAAGUUUGAAAAUUUUACAUGCCGUCUAAGUGUUCGUUAAAUUGCCUCUAAGAAGUUAAGUUUUAAUUUUGGCUAAAUCUUGGAUUUUAUUUUGCUGAACUGCUUCCUUGUGGAUGUUUUUUUUGCUGUUAUAUAGGAGAAGCUAAGCGAGCUGUGCCGCUUAAAGAUUACCGAAACAUUGGUAUUAUGGCUCACAUAGACGCUGGAAAGACCACAACAACAGAGAGGAUUCUUUACUACACUGGAAGAAACUACAAAAUCGGUGAAGUGCAUGAAGGAACAGCUACUAUGGAUUGGAUGGAACAAGAGCAAGAAAGAGGAAUCACUAUUACUUCAGCUGCAACCACAACGUUUUGGGACAAACACAGGAUCAACAUCAUUGAUACACCGGGUCACGUCGAUUUCACUCUUGAAGUUGAACGUGCUCUGAGAGUUCUCGAUGGAGCUAUAUGCUUGUUCGAUAGUGUUGCUGGUGUCGAGCCUCAGUCUGAGACUGUGUGGAGGCAAGCUGAUAAAUACGGUGUGCCCCGGAUUUGCUUUGUCAACAAAAUGGACCGUCUCGGAGCUAACUUUUUCAGGACGAGGGAUAUGAUUGUGACCAAUUUGGGUGCUAAGCCAUUGGUGCUUCAGAUCCCAAUUGGUGCUGAAGAUGUCUUUAAAGGUGUUGUUGAUCUUGUGAGGAUGAAAGCUAUAGUUUGGUCAGGAGAAGAGCUUGGUGCCAAAUUUAACUACGAGGAUAUUCCAGCUGACCUUGAAGAUUUGGCUCAAGAGUAUCGGGUGGCGAUGAUGGAACUGAUUGUUGAUUUAGAUGAUGAGGUCAUGGAGAACUAUUUAGAAGGAGUUGAGCCUGACGAGGCCACAGUGAAGAGAUUGAUUAGAAAAGGAACCAUCACUGGCAAGUUUGUGCCUAUUCUGUGUGGUUCAGCCUUUAAGAACAAAGGAGUACAGCCAUUACUUGAUGCUGUGGUUGAUUAUCUGCCUUCGCCGGUUGAAGUGCCACCGAUGAAUGGAACAGAUCCUGAGAACCCGGAACUUAUCAUCAUUCGAAAACCAGAUGAUGAAGAGCCAUUUGCUGGGUUAGCAUUCAAGAUCAUGAGUGAU
This 1440-nucleotide long non-coding RNA is filed under the name Capsella grandiflora. Its description in RNAcentral is "long non-coding RNA (CGRA_LNC000445)". The record is from RNAcentral. Lineage: Eukaryota; Viridiplantae; Streptophyta; Magnoliopsida; Brassicales; Brassicaceae.